GUGUGCGCCUAGUGAUUUGAACGUCCGCCUAGGAUGCGGAAGGUCGUGGGUUCGAUCCCCGGCCGAGUCA
Molecule: non-coding RNA, 70 nt
Organism: Potamilus streckersoni
Lineage: Eukaryota; Metazoa; Mollusca; Bivalvia; Unionida; Unionidae
Source: the annotation of a GenBank genome assembly